Molecule: ribosomal RNA, 459 nt
Filed under: uncultured bacterium
Lineage: Bacteria
Description: partial 16S ribosomal RNA
Rfam family: Bacterial small subunit ribosomal RNA
Source: RNAcentral
CCUACGGGAGGCUGCAGUGAGGAAUAUUGGUCAAUGGGCGGGAGCCUGAACCAGCCAAGCCGCGUGAGGGAAGAAGGUACAGCGUAUCGUAAACCUCUUUUGUCAGGGAACAAAGGCGGGGACUAGUCCCCGGAUGAGGGUACCUGAAGAAAAAGCAUCGGCUAAGUCCGUGCCAGCAGCCGCGGUGAUACGGAGGAUGCGAGCGUUAUUCGGAUUUAGUGGGUUGAGAGGGUGCGCAGGCGGCCUGUUAAGUUAGCGGUAAAAGCCCGGGGCUCAACCCCGGCGAGCCGUUGAAUCUGGCGGGCUUGAGUUGGAGAGAAGGACGCGGAAUGCGAGGUGUAGCGGUGAAAUGCUUAGAGAUCGCGCAGAACCCCGAUUGCGAAGGCAGCGUACCGGCUCCACACUGACGCUGAGGCACGAAAGCGUGGGUAUCGAACAGGAUUAGAUACCCGUGUAGUC